Molecule: ribosomal RNA, 300 nt
Filed under: uncultured Thalassomonas sp.
Lineage: Bacteria; Pseudomonadati; Pseudomonadota; Gammaproteobacteria; Alteromonadales; Colwelliaceae
Description: bacterial SSU rRNA
Rfam family: Bacterial small subunit ribosomal RNA
Source: RNAcentral
UGCGUUGGGAAUAUGCCUUGAGGGUGGGGACGAACAGUUGGAAACGACUGCUAAUACCGCAUAAAUGUCUACGGACCAAAGAAGGGGGACCUUCGGGCCUCUUGCCUUUAGAUUAAGCCCAAGUGAGAUUAAGCUAGUAGGUGGGGUAAUGGCUCACCUAGGCGACGAUCUCUAGCUGGUUUGAGAGGAUGAUCAGCCACACUGGGACUGAGACACGGGCCCCAGACUCCUACGGGAGGCAGCAGUGGGGAAUCUUAGACAAUGGGCGCAAAGCCUGAUCUAGCCAUGCCGCGUGUGUGA